CUUGCCAUCUCACCCGAGCUAGGGGCAGGGGGACACGAGAGGGGGGGGUGGCAAAGGCCACAUGCAGACUGCAGGCUGGACCGAGCACUUGGACUCGAACUUGUGUGCCAGGAGGGGCCCCCACCCCUCCCCUUUCGGUUUCCUCUUGUUUUGUUUUCUAUUAUUAUUUUUAUUACGAAGUUUCAUUCUUGUUGAGAAAAAAAACAACGAACUUUUUGUAUCGAUGAACAAAAUAUUCACAACUUGGGCAGUUGUGAUGCGAAUUGAACAAAAAAACCAAACACUUAAACUUUUUUUUUUUUUAGGUCUCAGAGGAGUUUGGGACUUUAGGGGAAAAAAAAUCAACCCAGCACCAGCAGCUACCAACCACCAUUCCAUAUCCUCACUUGAAAAGCAUUAGUUACAGUCCAGAUGUGGGAACUCUUGAAAGAAGUUCCUUAUUGUGUUUGUCUCAGACCAGUGUAAACAAACCAGCCAAGCCACCACCUUGUUAAACCUAUUCAGGUCCAGUCGGGCCAUUGUGCCAGGAUUUUAUUGAGCACCUACUGGAUGCAACACGUUGUGAAGAUGGAAAUGCAGGCAGGAGGCAUGUAUUGCUGAGGGCCAGAGGUGGUGUGAUUCAGAGUUGCUGGCAGGUCCCCCUCACUGCCCUGGGGUUCAGUCCACGUAUCACAGGGCUCAUGCCCACAAGAUUGGAAUGCCUUGAAGAUCCUCAAAGUGACUCUUUAUGGAGCCCCUAUUAUGCACUAAAGCUUUAUGUAUGUUAAUAACAACCUUUAUAUCUACUACACAAGACUGAGGGACUACUGCUGCCCCUGUUUCAAAGAUAAGGAAACUGAGCUCAGAGAAGUUACAUGCCCGAGGCCAAGCGGCUGGGGAAAGGCUGAAGUAGAAUUCAAAGGAAUCUAAACUGUUGCUCCUUCAGAUGGCCCCAGGCUGCCUCUCUGACUCCUCUCUCCCUGCCUCCCUCCCACACUGUCUGUAAACUCAGAUUUCCACAUCUGUGCUUUAAAAACACAAUUACUUCAAGCCAUUCUUUGCUCAAAAUCCUCACUGAGAAUAAAAUCUAAAGUCUUCGCAAGGCCAACCUAUGAA
Myotis lucifugus (little brown bat) is the source of this 1095-nucleotide long non-coding RNA. RefSeq lists it as uncharacterized. Lineage: Eukaryota; Metazoa; Chordata; Mammalia; Chiroptera; Vespertilionidae. The transcript has 3 exons. The record is from RefSeq and is a predicted model, not a curated record.